CCUAUCAACUUAUUUCGAUGGUAGGAUAGGGGCCUACCAUGGUGGUGACGGGUGACGGAGAAUUAGAGUUCGAUUCUG
This 78-nucleotide ribosomal RNA is filed under the name Oryza punctata. Its description in RNAcentral is "rRNA SSU_rRNA_eukarya". It matches the Rfam family "Eukaryotic small subunit ribosomal RNA", at positions 311 to 385 of the family's 1831-position model. Lineage: Eukaryota; Viridiplantae; Streptophyta; Magnoliopsida; Poales; Poaceae. The record is from RNAcentral.